Molecule: unclassified non-coding RNA, 755 nt
Filed under: Hevea brasiliensis (rubber tree)
Lineage: Eukaryota; Viridiplantae; Streptophyta; Magnoliopsida; Malpighiales; Euphorbiaceae
Source: RNAcentral
GCUCUUCACUGUAGCAGCGUGAUUCCGGUGAGUAGUUUAAGGCUUUUUUUUUUCCUCUUAAUUACUUCCCUCCACUUUUAGUUGGGGAGCUUUUCUCGAUAAUCGCCAAAUUUCCAUAAAUUCAAAUCAGUAUAUCAUCGAAGAACACGACGAAAAUCCGAUGGCCACAAGCAAAACGACAGUUCAAAUUCACGGAGAUUGUGAAAAUGAUAAAGUGAAGUUACGUGGAGUAGUAGUUCAGUGAAGUAGUAGAUACUGAGAUCGCAUUCUCCGUCGUCAUUUUUCACAUCGAAACAGUCGUGUAAAAAAAUGAAAAAUUUGCUGCGAGACAGGUAUGUGUCGCAGCAGGAAAUAGCAUCUUAAAGGAAGGAAGGAAGGAAACUCGAAAGUUGCUAAAAAUUUUUGAUUCUUUGGGACGAAACGAGAUAAUGGAAUCCUGUGAUUGCAUUGAGGCUUUACUGCCAACUGGUGACCUGCUGGUUAAAUACCAAUACCUCUCAGAUUUCUUCAUUGCUGUAGCCUACUUUUCCAUUCCGUUGGAGCUUAUUUAUUUUGUCCACAAAUCUGCAUGCUUCCCAUACAGAUGGGUCCUCAUGCAAUUUGGUGCUUUUAUUGUGCUCUGUGGAGCAACACACUUUAUUAGCUUGUGGACCUUCUUUAUGCACUCUAAGACGGUCGCUGUGGUUAUGACCAUAUCAAAAAUGUUGACAGCUGCCGUGUCCUGUAUCACAGCUUUGAUGCUUGUUCACAUUAUU